Gadus macrocephalus (Pacific cod) is the source of this 869-nucleotide long non-coding RNA. RefSeq lists it as uncharacterized. Lineage: Eukaryota; Metazoa; Chordata; Actinopteri; Gadiformes; Gadidae. The transcript is spliced from 2 exons. The record is from RefSeq and is a predicted model, not a curated record.
UGGUACAUAUAUGAAUGUGUAUCUUCAGCAGAAAGUGAAAUGAAUGUGAAAUGAACUGAAUGAAUAAAGGAACUGAAAGAAUAAAAGGAUUUAAUUCAUUCCCUUUUUCUGAGUACAUCAUUUACUACAUUAUAUAUUAACAUUAUUUUGAAUACUUUCAGGAUGGACUGACUGGACUUUAAAAUUGAUUAUAGAUGAAAGACUUCUUGUUCAAUUACAUACAUGUCAUUCAAUGUUUUCAGUGUACAAAAUUACAGCUCCGGGAAAAAAUGAAGGGACCACUCCAAAUGUUCAGUGCCUCUCGUUUUAAUAUUUAUAUAUUAUAUUUAUAGGUACAUGUUUGAGUAGAAACACUAUUCAACAGGGAUGUAGCCUUUUAAAUCAAGUGGUCCCUGGAAGUUGGUCAUCACACAGCAGACGGUCCACAGCUGAUUGACUGUCGCAGACAAGGUGAAAGGACAGUGCGUUCCCAGAUGCGGUAUUCCUUGACUCUGCCUAUUGCUCUUUCUACGAGGAUUCGAAGUCGAGCGAUUGCUUGUGUUUUCAGAGCAUCCUCUUCAGUGAACUGCGCAGUGGUUAGAGAUAAAUUAAUUAGUAAUAUAAUUGUGAGUGCUUCAGUCCAUCUUAAACAUUUGUCUACAUAUCUUAAUGGUCACAUUUGGGUCAAAGUUUUAAUUUGAAAUGUUCAUUCCUUUCAUGCCUACCUGUCAUCUUGAAGGGUGGUAUAAUCAGCGUUGCCCCACGAUCAGCUAGUGGCUUCUCGAUGGUGAAACCCUUGUCUGCCAUGCAGCCAUCUCCUGGCUCCAGUAAAUCCAGCAGUCCACUUCGUUCAGUCAGCUCUGGGUCGGAGAUGGAGCCGGUGAAGAGAC